This is a non-coding RNA of Myotis brandtii (Brandt's bat), 75 nucleotides long. NCBI's taxonomy places the organism in Eukaryota, Metazoa, Chordata, Mammalia, Chiroptera, Vespertilionidae. The record is from Rfam.
UGUGCACUUGGGGAGGUCCCUCAGCCUGGAUUGCAAGAGGGCGCAGGCCAGGCCAAGGGACCCCACCAGUGCACU